AUAACGUUAAAUUAACCUGCCUCUCAGACGAGGAUAACAGUUGGAAACGACUGCUAAGACUGGAUAUGAAGUUUUGAGGCAUCUCGAAACUUUUAAAAGACCCGCAAGGGUAUGCUGAGAGAUGGGCUUGCGGCACAUUAGUUAGUUGGUAAGGUAAUGGCUUACCAAGACUAUGAUGUGUAGCUGGACUGAGAGGUUGAACGGCCACAUUGGGACUGAGAUACGGCCCAAACUCCUACGGGAGGCAGCAGUAAGGAAUUUUCGGCAAUGGAGGAAACUCUGACCGAGCAACGCCGCGUGAACGAUGAAGUAUUUAGGUACGUAAAGUUCUUUUAUUAAAGAAGAAAAAAUGAUGGAAAAAUCAUUCUGACGGUAUUUAAUGAAUAAGCCCCGGCUAACUAUGUGCCAGCAGCUGCGGUAAUACAUGGGGGGCAAGCGUUAUCCGGAUUUAUUGGGCGUAAAGGGUGCGUAGGCGGUUAAAUAAGUCUAUGGUAUAAGUUCAACGCUUAACGUUGUGAUGCUAUAGAAACUGUUUGACUAGAGUUGGAUAGAGGCAAGUGGAAUUCCAUGUGUAGCGGUAAAAUGCGUAAAUAUAUGGAGGAACACCAGUAGCGAAGGCGGCUUGCUGGGUCUUAACUGACGCUGAGGCACGAAAGCGUGGGGAGCAAACAGGAUUAGAUACCCUGGUAGUCCACGCCGUAAACGAUGAGUACUAAGUGUUGGGUUAAACCAGUGCUGAAGUUAACACAUUAAGUACUCCGCCUGAGUAGUACGUACGCAAGUAUGAAACUUAAAGGAAUUGACGGGACUCCGCACAAGCGGUGGAUCAUGUUGUUUAAUUCGAAGAUACACGAAAAACCUUACCAGGUCUUGACAUACUCUGCAAAGCUAUAGAAAUAUAGUGGAGGUUAUCAGGGAUACAGGUGGUGCAUGGUUGUCGUCAGCUCGUGUCGUGAGAUGUUGGGUUAAUCCCGCAACGAGCGCAACCCU
Molecule: ribosomal RNA, 990 nt
Filed under: Candidatus Phytoplasma prunorum
Lineage: Bacteria; Bacillati; Mycoplasmatota; Mollicutes; Acholeplasmatales; Acholeplasmataceae
Description: bacterial SSU rRNA
Rfam family: Bacterial small subunit ribosomal RNA
Source: RNAcentral